RNAcentral lists this ribosomal RNA (433 nucleotides) under uncultured bacterium. RNAcentral's name for it is "partial 16S ribosomal RNA". It matches the Rfam family "Bacterial small subunit ribosomal RNA", at positions 29 to 507 of the family's 1533-position model. The record is from RNAcentral.
AACGAACGCUGGCGGCAUGCCUAACACAUGCAAGUCGAACGAGACCUUCGGGUCUAGUGGCGCACGGGUGCGUACCGCGGGGGAACCUGCCCUUAGGUUCGGAAUACCUCCCCGAAGGGGGUGCUAAUACCGGUUAAUGUCUUCGGACCAAAGAUUUAUCGCCUUUGGAUGGGCCCGCGUUGGAUUGGCUAGUUGGUAGUGUAAAAGCCUACCAAGGCGACGCUCCAUAGCUGGUCUGAUAGGAUGAUCAGCCACACUUGGCCUGAGACACGGCCCAGACUCCUACGGGAGGCAGCAGUGGGUAACACUGGGCAAGGGGCGAAAGCCUGAUCCAGCAACGCCGCGUGAGUGAUGAAGGCCUUAGGGUUGUAAAGCUCUUUUAGCCGGGAUGAUAAUGACAGUACCGGGAGAAUAAGCACCGGCUAACUCCGUG